Molecule: ribosomal RNA, 500 nt
Filed under: uncultured organism
Description: bacterial SSU rRNA
Rfam family: Bacterial small subunit ribosomal RNA
Source: RNAcentral
GAUGAACGCUAGCGAUAGGCCUAACACAUGCAAGUCGAGGGGCAUCACAAAGAGUAGCAAUACUUUUGGUGGCGACCGGCGGAUGGGUGAGUAACACGUAUGCAACCUACCUUCUACAUUGGGAUAACCCGUUGAAAGACGGACUAAUACCGAAUAAUACAGGGGCGCCACAUGGUGAUAUUUGUUAAAGUUUCGAGCAAUCGAUUCGGUAGAAGAUGGGCAUGCGUAUGAUUAGCUAGUUGGUGAGGUAACGGCUCACCAAGGCAACGAUCAUUAGGGGUUCUGAGAGGAAGGUCCCCCACACUGGUACUGAGACACGGACCAGACUCCUACGGGAGGCAGCAGUGAGGAAUAUUGGUCAAUGGGCGCGAGCCUGAACCAGCCAAGUCGCGUGAAGGAAGACUGUCCUAUGGAUUGUAAACUUCUUUUGUACAGGAAUAAAGUGUUCUACGUGUAGGAUUUUGCAUGUACUGUACGAAUAAGGAUCGGCUAACUCCGUG